UAACACAUGCAAGUCGAACGGGGUACCCAGGACAGAGGUUUCGGCCAAUUGAAUGGAAUACCUAGUGGCGGACGGGUGAGUAACGCGUGAGGAACCUGCCUUGGAGUGGGGAAUAACAUUCCGAAAGGGAUGCUAAUACCGCAUAAUGCAGAGGGGUCGCAUGGUCUUUCUGCCAAAGAUUUAUCGCUCUGAGAUGGCCUCGCGUCUGAUUAGCUUGUUGGCGGGGUAACGGCCCACCAAGGCGACGAUCAGUAGCCGGACUGAGAGGUUGGCCGGCCACAUUGGGACUGAGACACGGCCCAGACUCCUACGGGAGGCAGCAGUGGGGAAUAUUGGGCAAUGGGCGCAAGCCUGACCCAGCAACGCCGCGUGAAGGAAGAAGGCUUUCGGGUUGUAAACUUCUUUUAUCAGGGACGAAGAAAGUGACGGUACCUGAUGAAUAA
This 443-nucleotide ribosomal RNA is filed under the name uncultured rumen bacterium. RNAcentral describes it as "bacterial SSU rRNA". It matches the Rfam family "Bacterial small subunit ribosomal RNA", at positions 49 to 489 of the family's 1533-position model. The record is from RNAcentral.